GUAGGGUGCGGGCGUUAUCCGGAUUCACUGGGUUUAAAGGGUGCGUAGGCGGGCAGGUAAGUCCGUGGUGAAAUCUCCAAGCUUAACUUGGAAACUGCCGUGGAUACUAUUUGUCUUGAAUAUAGUGGAGGUGAGCGGAAUAUGUCAUGUAGCGGUGAAAUGCUUAGAUAUGACAUAGAACACCCAUUGCGAAGGCAGCUCGCUACACUAUUAUUGACGCUGAGGCACGAAAGCGUGGGGAUCAAACAGGAUUAGAUACCCUGGUAGUCCACGCCCUAAACGAUGAUUACUCGACAUCAGCGAUACACUGUUGGUGUCUGAGCGAAAGCAUUAAGUAAUCCACCUGGGAAGUACGACCGCAAGGUUG
This 367-nucleotide ribosomal RNA is filed under the name uncultured bacterium. Its description in RNAcentral is "bacterial SSU rRNA". It matches the Rfam family "Bacterial small subunit ribosomal RNA", at positions 527 to 896 of the family's 1533-position model. The record is from RNAcentral.